Molecule: long non-coding RNA, 833 nt
Organism: Salvelinus sp. IW2-2015
Lineage: Eukaryota; Metazoa; Chordata; Actinopteri; Salmoniformes; Salmonidae
Source: RefSeq, a predicted model, not a curated record
UAUUUUUUGGUUUAGGAGUCCGACUGGCGCUGGCAGAUCGGUGUGUGAUUGGAGCAGCGCAGAGAUUGCCUGGAGCACAAGCCCGACGCACAGACACAGGCCCCCGAACUAUAGUCGCAUUGUAGACUGUUUCAGCAUUGUAUUGGCGACUUUCCGAAAGGCUUGACAUCGUCGUGGAAUACGACUGCAUGUUUUAUUUUUAGGAUAUGUGAUGAUAUGCUUCUCAUUCGCCUCUUUUAGGCUACAAUAACAUUGGAGCCGUGCAGUUUUUGAAUUCAUUGUGUCCAAUCGAAGGGAAAAUGUGGAUGCGUGCGAGGGGGAUAUGGGAAAAAAACUAUUGAUUAAUAGUUCCGAACAGCAUCUCGCUAAGGAACAGUUUGUCCGGUCCUUGGGGACGCAUGGACUUGGAGAGAGAGAUACCUGCCACAAGAAACAACACGAUCUGUCCCUCGUAAUUGGAGCAUGCAUCGGAACCACGGACGUCUUUGUGUUGCCCGCUGCGUAUUCCGAGUUUGAGGGGGGCCUCUAGCCUGCUAAAGGGGUGACCACUCUCUCCGUGUUCCUUCAAUGCCAAACCGAAAUAUUCGUCAAACACCAUUUGGGACUGUUCACCUCAAAUAUGAGAAGAUGACUGGUGAGGCUUUCCUAAAACCACAGAUCGCUGACUACUCCAAGACUCCUCUGCUUUUUGAUUCUAUAUCCUACAACCACAGUUUGUUAACUAGAGGGCAUCUGGAGACUCUCCACACCCAGCAACAAUGGCUCCUGCAGCGUGGAGGUGUUUGUUCUCCAUUGUCUACUGCUCACCCUAAUUCAUUAUCAUUGUUCACAAG